CUCCCGCUCCGCCGCCGCCCCUACCGCUCCAUCGGCCCGACCUAUUCUUCGGGCGCGACCACAGGAGCAGCUCCACCUCCCUACCCCCUCAUGCAACAGCACUCCAAACCCCCACCACCACGUCCGGCCGCCUCUAGAGUUUCUUACCCUCAAUGCCCCGCCGCGACUUGUGUUCCGGGCAGUGAGGAUGGGAGCGGGUCGGCUGUGUCGCUUAGUGGAUGGAGCGGCUGGGGCAGUGGCGCCACCGGGCUGGGCGGAGGAGAAGGAUGAGUCGUGGUGGUCCGAGACUGGAGGGCAGCGUUGUGCCAGAUCGAGGUAGCAGUAGCCGGAUCCGUGUAGAUCAAGGUUCACCAUCGUGUGAGCCAUGAAAUUUGAGAUUGCCGUCGCAUGGGUCGCCGAUGGCGAACACGCGUAGGUCAUGGACGACCCUCCCUCGCGAGCCACGCAUUCUGGCUCACCACCUCAGGCCGACGCGGUGCCUCCCCGGCGAGGCCGCGACGGCCUCUUCCUCCUCGCAUUGUCUCCGUCCUCCUGCUCAAGCCCGUCGUUGUCGCAUCCUUCGUGGCCUUUUUGUGUGGGCGCACUGCUAGAGGACGAUGUUGAACAUGAAGUGGAGCCCAGCCGGAGCGGUCUGACGCGGUGCAAGAGGAAUGGUCGACGCCAUAGCGUAUCUUCGUGGCCAAGGAGCGGUGGUCGACACCAUCGAGCAGGAGCCAUCGGUCGCCUGCACAUGGGCCGCAUUCUGAACUAAUGCUUUCUGCAACUGCAAUGUUCCCCUCCAUAGCGUAUCUUGUACAGGCAGAAGGAAUGCAGUUCAGUGACCGCGUCGGCUACAACUAGAUCGAUGGCCUGAAGGCUUUUACUGAGAAGAUGAAGAAUGCUAUAGAAUAGUGUCCAGCAACAAAGACUCCUACUACUACCGGUUCGAGAGAGGCUCUACCCUCAGGAUUCGGCAAGGAAGACCUGCUGUGGAGUCCGAGCAUCGCGUGCAGCACAUCAGCUGCCUGAGAGGGCAGCAACAGCUUUCUUUUCUACGAGAAGAUGAUCAAGGGGGCCGGCGGCCGUUUUGUGGUCAUCCUCAAUGUGUCCAAGCUCGUCCCGCAUCGGUCACAUUAUUGCCGACUCAUCGGUAAGUGUUCAACAAAUUGUCAGGUGCUGAUUUGAAUCCUUGUUCAAUUGCAAGUGGCCUGUAACACAGGGUUGAGUGCACAUUACCAUCACACUGCCAUGUAAACUUUGUUGGUACGCAAUCAAGCUGCUACAGUUCUAUUUAUAGUUUAUUUGGCCAUUUUGUCUUUGUUGUCCAUGGUCAGAUCAUGGUUUAUAGGCUUGAUCAUUAUGAGUCAGUAAAGUGAGAAUGAGCAGCAAUGAUUUAUUUACCUAA
Long non-coding RNA from Triticum aestivum (bread wheat), 1384 nucleotides. RefSeq lists it as uncharacterized. The transcript is spliced from 2 exons. The record is from RefSeq and is a predicted model, not a curated record. Lineage: Eukaryota; Viridiplantae; Streptophyta; Magnoliopsida; Poales; Poaceae.